Molecule: long non-coding RNA, 3347 nt
Filed under: Macaca fascicularis (crab-eating macaque)
Lineage: Eukaryota; Metazoa; Chordata; Mammalia; Primates; Cercopithecidae
Description: lncRNA (ENSMFAG00000053743.1)
Source: RNAcentral
AACCUGUUAAAUUCAGUAUAAUCUUCCUAUUUUAAGAUCACUUGAUUAUCAACCUUAAUUCUAUCUGCAAUCCUAAUUUCCCUAUGCCAUGUAAUUAACAUAUACAGAGGUUCUGGGGAUUAGGAUGCAGUCCUCUUUGGGGGCCAUUAUUCUGUCUUCCACACCUAGAAAUAGGAGUUGUAGUGUGACAGGGCUCGUGAGAAUCAGAAAAAAAGAAGUGACACAAAACAAGCUGCAAAGCUGUAAGCUAGCCUAUUUUGAGUUGUGACCUUAUCCCCAUGUUAUUGCUAGAUAAUGUUUAUCAAACAAGGGACUCAGGGAGUAGCACAUAAAUAUUUCAUGUGGGAUUGGUGUCACAGGCUGAGUUUCCCAGAAGCCAACACAGAAAUGGAAACUUCCAUGAAGAACAUUUAUUAGGAGUGGUCUUCGGAUUAACACCUUCGAAACAGAAGGAAAAUGAUAAACAAUUUGUGCAGAGAGAGAAGUUGGACUGCAAAGCAGUCUCAGCAAAGGUAUCUGCUGACCCCACAGGGAACUCUGAAGGUGGGGUGAGGGUGCUAGACCAGUAAAGCUCAUUGGAUGUGGGCUGCUCCAGGAAGGGGAAUGGGGUGUGACCUUGAGUGAGGCAUCUCUCUUCAGCUAAGGCACUUCCUGGAGAAGUCUGUCUGCCAGCAAAUCCCCAGCAGCUUGAGGGAAUAAGUUCACCAAUCCUAAGGAGAAAUCUGAGUGGUGCAUCCCAAUGCCCACUACAAAAGGACUCUAGUGUAGGGAGCUGGUCAAUGAACUGGGGGGAACUCUCCAAGGCUUAGGUCCUAGAGCAGAGAAAGUGUGGGUAGGAAAUGUAGGGAUUUUCCCAGGCAGGCAAAGAGUUGAUUCAGAAAGGAUAUUUUUUCAUCUUCUACCUAUACCCCAGUCUCUGCAGAACUCUGAGGCUCCCUACCUAUAGGGAGACAGUCUGCCUGCCGGUCACCUCCUACUCAUCACUGGAAUCACAGACAGAACAAGUGGUGGCAACACUGGCCUGAAGAUUCCUGACAACGUAGGUCUGGCCGGGAUUGGAAGCGUCAUCCAGCCUCAGGCCGGGGACCCGCCGCCAAGCGCCGCCUCCGCGGGAUGGUCCUCGGCAGCCGCCGUAGCGCAGAGACGAAUCCGCGCGCCCCCAGGCUGCCGCGAGCUACCAGGAGGCUUCCACCUGAGCGGCGCGUCCUCAGGGCUUGGGCCUGGCCUCCUUGCCUGUGAGGUGGCACUGUGGCAGUGCCCACCUCGUGGGCUGUGUGAGGGCCGAGUGAAAUCGUGCAUAUGCGGUAAGAAAGUGCUUUUCACGGUGCCCUGUCCUAAUAUGGGCUGCCAGCCUAAGUACAGAGGCACAGUCCCAGCCCAAAGGCCAGUUUCCAGGUGAGCCCCUGUCGGGGAGACCACCAGACGGAACAGUGCCAGUCUACACUCCUGCACCGAGCAGGGCACAGUGUGGACGGCAGAGAGGUCUGAAGUCCCUUUAGAAUAAGGAUAAUGCUUCAGGGUUGUUAAAAGGAUUAAAUGAGAUGAUAUCUAAAGGGAUUAGCACAGUGGCUGAUGCUAAAAUAAAUCAUUUUCCCUACUGCCACUGCCCUUAAAACCAGACGCCUGCAACAGCCGGCCGGUACGUCUCCUCAUUUGUAAACUGGAGUUAGCAGGUGUGUUGUGAAGAUUGAGAAAAUUACGCAUAGGCAGAACCUGGCGUUUAAUAUUUGGGAAAUGGCAGCAAUUCUUUCUUCACUAGAUAAUCUACAGGCUGCACUGUGGUAGGCACAUAUGCUUAGCACCGAUUCUUAUAAGUGCAGGUGAAGAGAGAGAGAAGACAUAUUGUGUAAGUCGAAGGAGCCAGCCGCGUCCAGGCCGCAGCAAAACCUCAGCAGUACUGUACCAGGGCCCUCUUCUGUGAAUGAAUCUCCUCUUUGGCCUGUUUCCUGUCUGUUUGCAUUUGCUGCACCCAUCAGUUCCCAGACCUGGCCUUUAAAGCCAGGAGCUCUAGGAUGCUUGUCCCAAUCCUAGAAAACAAGUACAGCACACACCAACAGCAGCACCCCUAAAAGCCAGCCCUACUGGCAGUGCAGGCCCUGCAACCCGUAGGUAAGUGGGACACUCUAAGCUUCUUGGAGACAGCUAACUCAGGGCCUGAUUAGCUUACUCCCACCUCCUCUCUUCAGGAAAUCAGACUGUGUAAAGUAAGAGAGAAAAGAAAAUUAGCAUAAGUCUAUUCUAUUGUCUAAUGACAUGUGUUUCACUUGUGUUAAAAGUGAAUUGUGGGCUGGCGUGGUGGCUCAUUUGCCUGUAAUCCCAACACUUUAGGAGGCCACGGCAGGCAGAUUGCUUGAGCCCAGAAGUUUGAAACCAGCCUGGCAACAUGGAAAAACCCCAUCUCUACAAAAAAUACAAAAAUUAGCAGGAUAUGGUAGCUCAUGCCUGUAGUCCCAGUUACUCUGGAGGCUGAGGUGGGAGGAUGGCUUGAACCUGUCAGGUCGAGGCUGCCGUGAGCUGUAAUCACGCCAGUGCACUCCAGCCUGGGUGACAGAAUCAGUUCUUGUCUAAAAAAAAAAAAAAAAAAAAAAAAAAAAAAAAAAGUGAAUUGUAGUACCAGCUACAUUUAUAGAGCCCUUUGUCUUUACAGUCAUGGUGCUAAAGUCUCUGAUCUCAUUUAAUCCUUACAGCCACUCUCACAAUGCUCUGUCCAUUUUACAUAUUGGAAAACUAAGACUCAGGUUAAGAGAGACUUGUUGAAGGUCACAGCUAGUAAGCUGCAGAGAACCAGAAAGUGAAUCUGGGUGGACCUUGACUCUAAACAGUUUGCUUUUAACAACUAUACUCCUUUGAACAUAUUUACCCUAUUUUCUUCAUUAAGUAAAAUGCUUUCUGUGUCUUAAUUUUCAGAACCUCUAAUAAAACAUUUUGCAGAACAUAUUUUCUAAGUAUCCCUGAUCCCCACAAACCAGGCUUUCUUCCCUAAUCUUUUAGUCAUUGCAAACAUGUAAUAGAUGCAUGCUGAGUUUGUGAGCUUGGCACCACACAUGACAGGCUUUGGUUAGGGAAUUCAGCUACAAGCAACCAAACCCUCAUAGCCAAAGCCAGGGGUGCUAGGACCCCUGGCCCUGCAGUGGCCCUGAUAUGGCCUUUCCAUCCUCACAGUUACUGGGACAAAACGUCCUAUGCUUUCACCCUUAUGUGGCUCCAGAGGUAGGAUUUAAUUUUUUAAAAAUCUGCAAUACUGCAGCAGAGAUGUAGUUAUGAGUCAGGGAUGUGUACGUGUGUGUGUCUGUGUGUGAAAGCCAGUCUCUCAGCACCAGCUAAAAAUGUGAAGCAGCAAGUCUGUG